UCCCGCCGCUAGCGACGCCUUCUCAGUCAAACGGCGCUUGAACUUGGUCGUGUACGUCUUUGUAUUCGGUUCUUGUGAUCAGGAAUCUAUUUGUGAAUUUCACAUCGAAGUUUGGAUAACAUCUUUGUCUUCAGCGAGGAAGGGAAUGCUGUAUCAGUGUAAGGAGGUCGGAGCGUGAGCGAGUGGGACAGGAAAUGGCGCAACUCUAGAUACAUUUCAAGUCAACACCAAAAGG
Cryptotermes secundus is the source of this 235-nucleotide long non-coding RNA. RefSeq lists it as uncharacterized. The transcript is spliced from 3 exons. The record is from RefSeq and is a predicted model, not a curated record. Lineage: Eukaryota; Metazoa; Arthropoda; Insecta; Blattodea; Kalotermitidae.